AGUGAACGCUGGCGGUAGGCCUAACACAUGCAAGUCGAACGGCAGCACAGUAAGAGCUUGCUCUUACGGGUGGCGAGUGGCGGACGGGUGAGGAAUACAUCGGAAUCUACUUUUUCGUGGGGGAUAACGUAGGGAAACUUACGCUAAUACCGCAUACGACCUACGGGUGAAAGCAGUGGAUCUUCGGACCUUGCGCGAUUGAAUGAGCCGAUGUCGGAUUAGCUAGUUGGCGGGGUAAAGGCCCACCAAGGCGACGAUCCGUAGCUGGUCUGAGAGGAUGAUCAGCCACACUGGAACUGAGACACGGUCCAGACUCCUACGGGAGGCGGCAGUGGGGAAUAUUGGGCAAAGGGCGCAAGCCUGAUCCAGCCAUACCGCGUGGGUGAAGAAGGCCUUCGGGUUGUAAAGCCCUUUUGUUGGGAAAGAAAAGCAGCAGGUUAAUACCCCGCUGUUCUGACGGUACCCAAAGAAUAAGCACCGGCUAACUUCGUG
Molecule: ribosomal RNA, 492 nt
Filed under: uncultured bacterium
Lineage: Bacteria
Description: partial 16S ribosomal RNA
Rfam family: Bacterial small subunit ribosomal RNA
Source: RNAcentral